GCCGGAGUAGCACAGCGGUAGUGCAACCGCCUUGUAAGCGGUAGGUCGCGGGUUCAAUCCCUGCCUCCGGCACCA
Molecule: transfer RNA, 75 nt
Filed under: Verrucomicrobiaceae bacterium
Lineage: Bacteria; Pseudomonadati; Verrucomicrobiota; Verrucomicrobiia; Verrucomicrobiales; Verrucomicrobiaceae
Description: tRNA-Thr
Rfam family: tRNA
About the family: Transfer RNA (tRNA) molecules are approximately 80 nucleotides in length. Their secondary structure includes four short double-helical elements and three loops (D, anti-codon, and T loops). Further hydrogen bonds mediate the characteristic L-shaped molecular structure. tRNAs have two regions of fundamental functional importance: the anti-codon, which is responsible for specific mRNA codon recognition, and the 3' end, to which the tRNAs corresponding amino acid is attached (by aminoacyl-tRNA synthetases). tRNAs cope with the degeneracy of the genetic code in two manners: having more than one tRNA (with a specific anti-codon) for a particular amino acid; and 'wobble' base-pairing, i.e. permitting non-standard base-pairing at the 3rd anti-codon position.
Source: RNAcentral